This 353-nucleotide long non-coding RNA is filed under the name Apteryx owenii (little spotted kiwi). RNAcentral describes it as "lncRNA (ENSAOWG00000018908.1)". Lineage: Eukaryota; Metazoa; Chordata; Aves; Apterygiformes; Apterygidae. The record is from RNAcentral.
AUUCAUUACUGCCGGUAUUGCAAGUUACAGCUCUUAAAGAACGAUAAGCAAGCAACAAAAGGACACAGCAUGGAUCACUUGGCUAAAGAUAGCUGAAUGAAGAUAAAUUAAAAAAAAUCAAGGAUUAUGACAAAACAGAACAGCCAUUUCCAUCUUCAUUUUUAGUAAUACAAAGUGAUGACAACUCUUGCUCUUAAAAGGAUCUAUAAUUUCAAGGAUCAUGUGGAAAACUAAGAGGCCAAAGCAGCCAUAGAACAGCAUGAAGUUCAAGGAUUGCCCUGCUUAAAGAACAAAGAAGUAUUGGCCCUAACACCUGGAGACUCUGCAUGGAUCAAAGGGGAGUUGCUGCUGUU